Gymnothorax javanicus (giant moray) is the source of this 72-nucleotide non-coding RNA. Lineage: Eukaryota; Metazoa; Chordata; Actinopteri; Anguilliformes; Muraenidae. The record is from the annotation of a GenBank genome assembly.
GGCACGGUAGUGUAGUGGGUAGCACUUGCCUCACAGCAAAAAGCUUGUGGGUUCGAAUCCAGCCUUGGGUCU